GAUUUCUGGUUUAAUGCACCUGGCCCGCAGCCUCUAGGCUUGUGAGUGCCGGCGCGCGUUUACCAUCCUUCUAGAAAUCGGUCUUGCCAUUAACUUGGUGGGGUCGAGAACUAGAUCUUUUACUUUGAAAAAAUUAGAGUGUUUAAAGCAGGCUUUUGCUAUGAAUACAUUAGCAUGGAAUAAUAAUCUAGGACUUCGGUUCUAUUUUGUUGGUUUCUAUAACUGAAGUAAUGAUUGAUAGGGACAGUUGGGGGUGCUAGUAUUGGCCGGCCAGAGGUGAAAUUCUUGGAUUCGGUCAAGACUAACUUAUGCGAAAGCAUU
RNAcentral lists this ribosomal RNA (321 nucleotides) under Rhogostoma sp. RNAcentral describes it as "SSU rRNA". The stretch from base 104 to 321 matches the Rfam family "Eukaryotic small subunit ribosomal RNA", at positions 736 to 955 of the family's 1831-position model. The record is from RNAcentral. RNAcentral also lists the same sequence under 2 other names. Lineage: Eukaryota; Cercozoa; Thecofilosea; Cryomonadida; Rhogostomidae.